UACGGAGGGGGCUAGCGUUGUUCGGAAUUACUGGGCGUAAAGCGCACGUAGGCGGCUUUGUAAGUUAGAGGUGAAAGCCCCGGGCUCAACCCGGGAAGUGCAUUGGAAACUGUGAGACUUGAGUACGGGAGAGGGCAGUGGAAUUCCCAGUGUAGGAGUGAAAUCCGUAGAUAUUGGGAGGAACACCGGUGGCGAAGGACGGCUGCCUGGACCGAUACUGACGCUGAGACGCGAAAGCGUGGGGAGCAAACAGG
RNAcentral lists this ribosomal RNA (254 nucleotides) under uncultured bacterium. RNAcentral describes it as "partial 16S ribosomal RNA". It matches the Rfam family "Bacterial small subunit ribosomal RNA", at positions 524 to 776 of the family's 1533-position model. The record is from RNAcentral.